RNAcentral lists this ribosomal RNA (253 nucleotides) under uncultured bacterium. RNAcentral describes it as "partial 16S ribosomal RNA". It matches the Rfam family "Bacterial small subunit ribosomal RNA", at positions 524 to 776 of the family's 1533-position model. The record is from RNAcentral.
UACGAAGGGGGCUAGCGUUGUUCGGAAUUACUGGGCGUAAAGGGCGCGUAGGCGGCCAACUAAGUCGGACGUGAAAUCCCCGGGCUCAACCCGGGAACUGCGUCCGAUACUGGAUGGCUUGAAUCCGGGAGAGGGAUGUGGAAUUCCAGGUGUAGCGGUGAAAUGCGUAGAUAUCUGGAGGAACACCGGUGGCGAAGGCGGCAUCCUGGACCGAAACUGACACUGAGGCGCGAAAGCCAGGGGAGCAAACGGG